Molecule: long non-coding RNA, 668 nt
Organism: Gavialis gangeticus (Gharial)
Lineage: Eukaryota; Metazoa; Chordata; Crocodylia; Gavialidae
Exons: 3
Source: RefSeq, a predicted model, not a curated record
UUAACUGCUUUUACUACAGCUCUACAAAGGGACUACUUGCAUCAUCAGUAAAGUUCUAUAUUUUCAGGGGGAAUAGAAAAUAUUCAGAUAUGGAUUCAUUCCAGGUACGCCUUGUCUCAUUGUGGAGGCAAGUGGGUUAAGAUGACUUUUUAAGAGGCUAAAUUUACAGCUAUGCACACUAUUAUUUCCUCCUUGAAAUUCUCCACUCCUUGGGCUUUGGAGACUGCAAUCUUCUGGCUCAUGAUUCUAUGCUAUUCAGGGCACAGUAGGUUUGCUAUUGUGCCCUGUUCCCAUGUCCAUUGACCAUAUUCUCAUCUUAACAGCGCCUUCAAUAUCCAAUCCUGCAAAUGACUAAGUAACUCCCUUGCAGGUCCAGAAUCCCUUUUGAAACCAGCUGGAGAUUAGGGUACGAAGAACACCCACGGGUGCUCAACCUCUAGAAGAAUUAAGUCUUAAGCAUGUCCUUUACUGAAACUUCUCCCUCUUUCUGGUCUCCAUCAGUGUACCUCAGAGCUCCCUCGAGCCUUUUCUUCUGCGUGCUGCUCUUAGGCAUGUCAUCUGGCCACCCACCUCUACCUACCACCUCAUGCAGGUGACUUUCAGACUUUCCUCUCAGUUUCUGACUUUCCUGUCCAUUCAAAACAAAAUUUCUGAUACUCUCCCCAAUG